UGAAGUUUUACAGAGAGUAUGCUAUUCCUUAAUUUUCUUCUUAGCUGCAGAGCUUUUAGGGUCACUGAGCAGACCUUUAAGUGAGAGUCAAGGAAAUUUGGAAAUGCCUCACUGAUUUUUAUCAAUUGUUUCCAUUCUUUCCUUUCAAAAAAUAUACAGGGGCCAUGAAAUCACUUGUUCAAAUCCUGAUGAAAGUGUUAGAAAGGCUCAUUGCUUUCUUCCUUCCUUGCUGUCAUCAACCCUCCAGCAUUCAGCUAGACCACAGUUUUUCACUGAUUAUUAAAGUGGUUGAUUCUGGAGGACUGUUCACAACUGGAAAUCUAAAGAUUUUUCUCAUCAAUGUAAACAAUAAGGACCCCGUUCUUACCUGCAGAUGGCAUGAUAAUUUCCAACCAGGGGAGAGACCAAAGAUUGUCUGGGAAAAUGCUCUUCUCUCUCCAACAAGGCUCUCUCUGGAUCAAUUAUGAUUUGAUGGAUAUACAUGUGUGAGUCUCCACCUGCCACCACCUGGGCUUUUAAGAAAAAAAAAAAAAGAAACAGCAUUUAUUAACUUUGUUUUCAAAAUUGGAUUGAAUCAAUUUGUAUUCGAUCUGCCUCUGCCCAAACCAAGAAAAAUCGGUAAGUUAGUGUUUGUUUUCCCUUGUUUAGUUGUUUUGGGUCUCAGUUUCAGAUGUAUCUGGGAGAAUGAAUGCAUGAACUGGAGAUGACAGUCGUCAUUGGAGAGAGAGCUACAAAGAGUGUCCACAGGGGCAGGACUGUGCAACCUGACCCCUCUUUGUGUCAUAAUCAAUUUGACUCCAAACUCCAGAUGCUCUCUCCUGUUGUACUGACCAUCUUCAAUUUAGUAAUAAUCAUUGUAUUAGCUUCCUGAGGCUGCCAUCACAAAUUAGCACAAACUUAGUGUCUUAAAGCAACAGAAAUGUAUUCUGUCACAGGUCUGCUGGCUAGAAUUCCGAAAUGAAGUUUUUGGCAGGACCACAUGGCCUUUGAAGGCUCUAGGGGAAAAUCUGUUCCUUGCCACUUUCAGCUCCUAGUGUCUGACCCUGAUUCCUAGACCGUGGCUGCAUCCCUCUAAUCUCAGUCUCCCCCUUCACAUCUCUUUUCCCUUUGUGUAUCUAUCAAGUUUCCCUCUUAUAAGAAUGCCUAUCUUUGGAUUUAGG
RNAcentral lists this long non-coding RNA (1160 nucleotides) under Macaca fascicularis (crab-eating macaque). RNAcentral's name for it is "lncRNA (ENSMFAG00000046511.2)". Lineage: Eukaryota; Metazoa; Chordata; Mammalia; Primates; Cercopithecidae. The record is from RNAcentral.